Molecule: unclassified non-coding RNA, 303 nt
Organism: Colobus angolensis palliatus
Lineage: Eukaryota; Metazoa; Chordata; Mammalia; Primates; Cercopithecidae
Gene: 7SK
Rfam family: 7SK RNA
About the family: 7SK was discovered as an abundant small nuclear RNA in the mid-70s but a possible function has only recently been suggested. Two independent studies have found that 7SK RNA binds the CDK9/cyclin T complex (known as elongation factor P-TEFb).
Source: Ensembl
GGAUGUGAGGGCGAUCUGGCUGCAACAGCUGUCACCCCCAUUGGUCACCAGGGUUGAUUCGGGUGAUCUGGCUGGCUGGGCAGGUGUCCCCUUCCUCCCUCACCGCUCCGCGUGUGUCCCUCCUGAGGCUGCGUACUCGUUCAAAGAGGAUGACCAUCCCAGAGAGAGGAGGACCGGUCUUCCGUCAAGGGUACACAAGUAGCGGCGCUCCCCCUGCUAGAACCUCCAAACAAACUCUCAAGGUGCAAAGUGCAUUUCAACUCAAAUACUCAAUGCAUUCUUUCAAUGUUAGUGAAUCACUUU